This 253-nucleotide ribosomal RNA is filed under the name uncultured bacterium. RNAcentral describes it as "partial 16S ribosomal RNA". It matches the Rfam family "Bacterial small subunit ribosomal RNA", at positions 524 to 776 of the family's 1533-position model. The record is from RNAcentral.
UACGUAGGUGGCAAGCGUUGUCCGGAAUUAUUGGGCGUAAAGCGCGCGCAGGCGGUCCUUUAAGUCUGAUGUGAAAGCCCACGGCUCAACCGUGGAGGGUCAUUGGAAACUGGGGGACUUGAGUGCAGGAGAGAAGAGUGGAAUUCCACGUGUAGCGGUGAAAUGCGUAGAGAUGUGGAGGAACACCAGUGGCGAAAGCGCGUAACUGGGGCAUAACUGACGCUGAGGAACGAAAGCCAGGGUAUCCAAAGGG